AGAUGAAAAGUGGGAACCCAGCUGCGUAAAAGAGAAACCAAGCGUCAGUUUUCUAAACCAGAAGAGCUCAGGCUAGACCUGCAAGAGGCUUCGCCGGAGCCAGAGUGCCUACCAUUCUCUAUCUCCCUCUCUCUCGAUAAGCCGGAUCUGAUUUUUUGUUUAUGAUAUUUUGGUAGAGGGGUUUAACCAUCUGAUGUUUUGAUUCUAAUGUUUGUUGAUUUGGGUUUUUUGGGUUUUUUGAUUCUGUAUAAAAAUCUUGGUCGUGAUAAGCAUGAUUGUGAGUUCUCUCUCUGUAUCUUUUCGUUAUAAGAGUUUAGUUUAAUUUGUUGCUUUUUUUGUUUUUUUGUUUUUUUUUGUUUUAUAAGUUGAUUAAAGGGAAUUUUUUUCCGUAGUUUUUCUAUUCUCUUCUAUUCAGGAAUUUUCUGUAGUUGAAAUUCCUUGUCUAUUAUUUUGAGCAAUUUGAGCUAUUUUGGCAUCUGGGUGUAGUUGACUUUGAAAUGAUAUAUGUAUUUUUGUUUUCUUUUUAAAGUCUGACGCUGUAAUUGGUGUUUGACUGAUAUUCUGCAAUUUUAGCAAUUUCGGCAUCUGGCUUAGUUGAUUUUGAAACAAUUUAAUUUCUUUUUGUGGGGUAAUUUGAGUUGGAUUGAAGUGAUUUUGAAACAUCAGUGUGCAAAAAGUUGUAGAAUUUUCACUACCAUUAUUUUCAGUCAAGGUGAUCCCAUGGCAGAGGCUUUGAAUUGCUGGAAUUAUUAGAUGCUGAAUGAGUCUAAUCUGAUGCAGAUACGUACCAUUGAUACUUAUUGAGAUGAGGUACUUCUCAAGACUGUGCCGUCCUCCUCUGGAACUUUCCCCUCAAUUAUUUCCACUGGAUCACCAAGAAUCAAUUGCUACCUGCCUCCAUAUUUUCUUACUAAUGACUAUAUUCUGUCUUUAACAAUUGCCUUAUUUAUUGUUUAAAAAAUGCAGCUGCAUUUUAUACUAUUGUAUCAUUUUGUUGGAUCAAUGAAAAUUUCUUAUUUAAA
Non-coding RNA from Corylus avellana, 1022 nucleotides. NCBI's taxonomy places the organism in Eukaryota, Viridiplantae, Streptophyta, Magnoliopsida, Fagales, Betulaceae. The record is from RefSeq and is a predicted model, not a curated record.